GAACCUGAGUAAAGAGGUUAUAUGAUCUGUCUACAUCACAAAGGAAACUUUCUGAUCCAACAAUUGACAGCAGUGCUGAAGUCUCCAGCUACUGGAAUUCAUUUCAAUUCUGAUAAAUGAAAUAAGAAUGCAUAUUUCUGACCUCUCUUAUUUACAGAACAAAUGAACAAUGUAGGCAGAGAAUACAAGAGAUACAUUGUAACAGACAGCAUGUAUGUAUGAAUCAAUAUACCAACACACCUACCUUCUAAAGCUCUUACUGGUUCAAACAAAAUAUUUCACUCAAACAUAUUGACAAUUCUGAUUCUGUGGAUAAAUUUGUACUGCCUAUGCCAUAGACACCAAUCACCUCUUUGAACCAAGUGAGGAUAUAAAUCAGCAAGUGAAGGCAAGUUUUCAAAGCUUGUUCCAGACAGAACUUCAACAAACCAACUAAACUCCUGUAGAUGGACAGUGUGCACAACUGUUAUCUAGAUUUGGGCCUCCAUGACAUGGGGCUGCAAGCUGGAAAAGUUAACAGAUUCCACAUACACCUCUGAGAUCAACAUUCUAUUUUCAGUGAAAGGAAUGUAUACUGAA
Molecule: long non-coding RNA, 579 nt
Organism: Hyaena hyaena (striped hyena)
Lineage: Eukaryota; Metazoa; Chordata; Mammalia; Carnivora; Hyaenidae
Exons: 3
Source: RefSeq, a predicted model, not a curated record